UUGUGGUUUUGGAUGGACUCGCGGCCUAUCUGCUUGUUGGUGAGGUAAUGGCUCACCAAGGCGACGACGGGUAGCCGGCCUGAGAGGGUGACCGGCCACACUGGGACUGAGACACGGCCCAGACUCCUACGGGAGGCAGCAGUGGGGAAUAUUGCACAAUGGGCGAAAGCCUGAUGCAGCGACGCCACGUGAGGGAUGACGGCCUUCGGGUUGUAAACCUCUUUCAGUAGGGAAGAAGCGAAAGUGACGGUACCUGCAGAAGAAGCGCCGGCUAACUACGUGCCAGCAGCCGCGGUAAUACGUAGGGCGCAAGCGUUAUCCGGAAUUAUUGGGCGUAAAGAGGUCGUAGGCGGUUUGUCUCGUCUGCCGUGAAAGUCCGGGGCUCAACUCCGGAUCUGCGGUGGGUACGGGCAGACUAGAGUGAUGUAGGGGAGACUGGAAUUCCUGGUGUAGCGGUGAAAUGCGCAGAUAUCAGGAGGAACACCGAUGGCGAAGGCAGGUCUCUGGGCAUUAACUGACGCUCAGGACGAAAGCAUGGGGAGCGAACAGGAUUAGAUACCCUGGUAGUCCGUGCCGUAAACGUUGGGCACUAGGUGUGGGGGACAUUCCA
Molecule: ribosomal RNA, 610 nt
Filed under: Arthrobacter sp.
Lineage: Bacteria; Bacillati; Actinomycetota; Actinomycetes; Micrococcales; Micrococcaceae
Description: bacterial SSU rRNA
Rfam family: Bacterial small subunit ribosomal RNA
Source: RNAcentral